This is a long non-coding RNA of Salmo salar (Atlantic salmon), 962 nucleotides long. RefSeq lists it as uncharacterized. The record is from RefSeq and is a predicted model, not a curated record. Lineage: Eukaryota; Metazoa; Chordata; Actinopteri; Salmoniformes; Salmonidae.
UACACACUGCUGCCACAUGCCCAUAUGCUUGACACCUGUAACAACGUAAUGCAUUUGGCACAAAAUCUCAUAAGGGAUAACAUAUAUUACAAUGCAUUCACAACACAUUGUGUGUGCCCUCAGGCCACUACUCUACUAUCAUAUAUCUACAACACAAAAUCCUUGUGUACGUGUGUGUACAGUGCGUAUGUUAUCGUGUGUAUGCAUGUGUCUCUUCAUAGUCCCCGCUGUUCCAUAAGGUAUAUUUUUAUCUGUUUUUUUAAAUCUAAUUUUACUGCUUGCGUGAGUUACUUGAUGUGGAAUAGAGUUCCAUGUAGUCAUGGCUCUAUGUAGUACAGUGCGCCUCCCAUAGUCUGUUCUGUUUAGGUUAGUGUGUAGUCAAGGCUUUGUCAUUAGAAUUAUAUUGUGCCCAUUUUUCAGAUCUAAUGCAUCUGCUACACCGGCCACGACAGGUGAUACAGAUCUGCCACCCCCAGCAGUUCAGCAGCAGUCACAGCAGUCCUCUGCUACACCGGUUCCUACUACACUGGCCGUGAAGGGAGAAACCUUUGAGAAUACCUAGAUGGAUACAGAUCUGGCAUGCACUAGACCACUGCCUGACAGCCUCACCCAGAAGACACUGGGCCUAUCAAGACUGACAAAGCAGAGAUGGGCGGCUGACAAGGAAAAAUAAAACAGAACUUGCACUCACACACAUUAUCCACAAUGUAAAUAAGUUGUAAUUACUUGUUUAUUUAAUGUUUGCUCCAUUUUAUUUUAGGAUUGGAGAUAUCUACUCCUUCAUAUCCAUACUCAAUAUCCCACAUAAUUACUCUAAAUAUCAAUCAAAUCAAAGUUGAAAACAUGUCUCCCUCUCACACACACUAGACCAAAUGUAAAUAAAUUGUAAUAACUUGUUUAUUUUAUGUAUGCUCCAUUUUAUUUGAGGAAAAUAUCUGCAAUAAAGUACAUUCACAGUUAAA